RNAcentral lists this ribosomal RNA (961 nucleotides) under uncultured beta proteobacterium. RNAcentral describes it as "bacterial SSU rRNA". It matches the Rfam family "Bacterial small subunit ribosomal RNA", at positions 8 to 967 of the family's 1533-position model. Lineage: Bacteria; Pseudomonadati; Pseudomonadota; Betaproteobacteria. The record is from RNAcentral.
AGAGUUUGAUCCUGGCUCAGAUUGAACGCUGGCGGAAUGCUUUACACAUGCAAGUCGAACGGCAGCACGGAGAGCUUGCUCUCUGGUGGCGAGUGGCGAACGGGUGAGUAAUAUAUCGGAACGUAUCCAAUAAUGGGGGAUAACGAGUCGAAAGAUUCGCUAAUACCGCAUACGCCCUACGGGGGAAAGCAGGGGAUCGUAAGACCUUGCGUUAAUGGAGCGGCCGAUAUCUGAUUAGCUUGUUGGUGAGGUAAAGGCUCACCUAGGCGACGAUCAGUAGCUGGUUUGAGAGAACGACCAGCCACACUGGAACUGAGACACGGUCCAGACUCCUACGGGAGGCAGCAGUGGGGAAUUUUGGACAAUGGGGGCAACCCUGAUCCAGCCAUUCCGCGUGAGUGAAGAAGGCCUUCGGGUUGUAAAGCUCUUUCGCAAGGGAAGAAAACUUAUGAUCGAAUAAAUCAUGAGGUUGACGGUACCUUGAUAAGAAGCACCGGCUAACUACGUGCCAGCAGCCGCGGUAAUACGUAGGGUGCGAGCGUUAAUCGGAAUUACUGGGCGUAAAGCGUGCGCAGGCGGUUUUGUAAGUCGGAUGUGAAAUCCCCGGGCUCAACCUGGGAACUGCGUUCGAAACUGCAAGGCUAGAGUGUGUCAGAGGGGGGUAGAAUUCCACGUGUAGCAGUGAAAUGCGUAGAGAUGUGGAGGAAUACCAAUGGCGAAGGCAGCCCCCUGGGAUAACACUGACGCUCAUGCACGAAAGCGUGGGGAGCAAACAGGAUUAGAUACCCUGGUAGUCCACGCCCUAAACGAUGUCAACUAGUUGUUGGUAGAGUAAAAUCUAUGAGUAACGUAGCUAACGCGUGAAGUUGACCGCCUGGGGAGUACGGUCGCAAGAUUAAAACUCAAAGGAAUUGACGGAUAGAGUUUGAUCCUGGCUCAGUAAACUCAAAGGAAUUGACGG